This is an RNA transcript of Monodelphis domestica (gray short-tailed opossum), 6610 nucleotides long. It is a transcript of the gene named nudix hydrolase 9, with no coding region annotated. The record is from RefSeq and is a predicted model, not a curated record. Lineage: Eukaryota; Metazoa; Chordata; Mammalia; Didelphimorphia; Didelphidae.
GCAGGGUCGUGACGUCACGACGCUCCGUGACCCAGGUCGGGGGUCGGGCGGCGAGGUCGCCGCGGGGUCGGGGGUCGCGGGCACUUCCCCGGCCUCGAGGCUGGGCUGCCCGAGGAGCCCCCACAGACUUGCCUGGGGGUCUCCGCCGGCGCCGCACCGCGGAGCGGAUGUGACUGAGAUCGAUGAGGAGCCCGCCCCCGCUUAGGGGCUGGAGAGCGGCCGGUCCUAGCGCCCGCCGCAGCGGCAGGCCGGGCCGAGGCCGCAGCGGCGGCAGUGGCGGCAGCGGCAGCUCGAGGCCGCAGCGGCCUAGCUUUCUGGAGCGCCUCCGGGACGCUGAUGGCAGCACGCGGCCUGGCCCAGGCUUUAGCUACCGUGUCCCUCAGUGUGAGCCUGUGUUGCGUGACCGUCAGGGCCCUGGGGGGGCCGCCCUACAGUAGUUGCUUUUCAUCACGUUCAUUCCAUCUAAGCUCAGUCAUUAUGUCAGGUUCAAAUGGUGCUGAUGAAAAUUCUCACAACAAGGCUCGGACAUCACCUUAUCCAGGUUCAAAAGUUGAACGUAGUCAAGUACCCAAUGAAAAGGUGGGCUGGCUCGUUGAGUGGCAGGAGUAUAAUCCUGUGGAAUAUACUGCAGUCUCUGUCUUGGCUGGACCCAUGUGGGCAGAUCCACAGAUCAGUGAAAGAAAUUUUUCUCCUAAGUUUAAUGAAAAGGAUGGACAUGUUGAACGAAAGAGCCAGAAUGGCUUGUAUGAGAUUGAAAAUGGUCGACCUAGAAAUCCUGCAGGUCGGACAGGACUGGUAGGCCGGGGACUUUUGGGACGUUGGGGCCCAAACCAUGCUGCAGAUCCCAUUAUUACUAGGUGGAAAAGGGACAGCAGUGGAAAUAAAGUCAUUCACCCUCAUUCUGGGAAAAAUAUCUUACAAUUUGUAGCAAUCAAAAGGAAAGACUGUGGAGAAUGGGCAAUCCCAGGGGGGAUGGUGGAUCCAGGAGAGAAAAUCAGUGCUACCUUGAAACGAGAGUUUGGUGAAGAAGCUAUGAACUCCUUACAGAAAUCCACUGCUGAGAAGCAGGAGAUGGAGGAGCAAUUACAUAAACUCUUCAGUCAAGAACAUUUAGUGGUUUAUAAAGGAUAUGUGGAUGAUCCUCGAAAUACUGAUAAUGCGUGGAUGGAGACGGAAGCUGUGAAUUAUCAUGAUGAAACAGUUUCCUGCAGGCUUCUAAUACAAAGAGAACAAUGAAAGAAGAUCCAGAUGUCCAAGGCAAGGCACUGCUUCUCCCUCACCCAAACUGGAUAGAAAGGAUUGAUAAGGAAGAUGCUGUGGAUAUAGUUUACCUAGACUAGCAAAGCUUUGAUUCUCCAGGUAUAUGUCUAGCCCCAACUGUCUUCUGGGCUCCAUCCAAUCUUAUAGCAUUCUCUAUGUUGGACAUUUUAAACUUGAUGUCCUAUAGAAAUCUAAACAGGUCUGAAAUAGAACUCCCAAAAGUACUUGACAAGCUAGAACUUUGGUUGAAUCUAUUAUUGUUCAGUCAUGUUUGAGUCUUUGUGACCUCAUUUGAGUUUUUCUUGGCAAAGAUACUGAAGUGGUUUGCCAUUUCCUUCUCAUUGUACAGAUGAGGAAACUGAGAAAAUAGUUAAAUGACUUUCCCAGGGUCACACAGCUAUAAGUGACUGAGUUCAGAUCUGAACUCAAAUCUUGACUUUAGGCCUGGUGUUCAACCAUUUAGCUGCCAGGUUGAGUCUAAGAUGAAGUUCAGUUGCGAUACGGGUAAAUUCUUUUACUUAGUUACCCCAAAUACCACAAAUUUAAGUUAGGUGGGUAAGUUAAUGAAUGGAUAAAUACUGGUUCUGAAAAAAAGAUCCAGAGAUUUUAGGGGGCUGAGUCAGUGAUAUGAUGUGGCAGCCAAAAAUUCUCAUGUGAUCUUUCUCUCCUCUGAUACUGCCACCACCUGUGUAUAGACCAUCAUCACCUCAUACCCAGACCCUCUGGCGGGUCUGCCAGCCUCAAGUGUCCUCCACUCCAGUCCAACAUCGAUUCAGCCUCUAAGUGAUUUUCCUAAAUAUAAGUCCAAAUGUGUCACCCCCCCCCCCCCCAAUGUGGUAAACUCUGGUGGCUCCCUUUUGCCUCUAGGAUCAAAUACAAAGUCUUCUAUCUGGUUGUACAGAGCACUUCCUGAGCUAGGCCGUUCUUACUUUCCCAGGCUUCUUAUCCCAUACUGUCACCGUAUGUAUACUCUGUCAUGUGUUGGCACUGGCCUUGCUGUUUCACAGAUGAUACUCUAUCUCCCAACUCCAUACAUUUUCUCAGGCUCUCUUCCUUCUCAUCUCUACCUUCCAAUACCAACUAAAUUCCCAUUUUCAUAUAGGAAAUAAUUCUAGUGCCUUCCCUCUGUUAAUUGUUUAUUUAUUUUGUAUGGAGCUUGUUGGUACGUAUUUGCUUCUUGCUUUCUCCAUUGCAUUGUAAGCUCCUUGGGGGCAGGAACUAUCUUUUGCCCAUUUUUUUUUUGAAUCUCCAGAGUUUAGCACAUAGUAGAUACUUAAUAAAUAUUUAUUGACUCAGGGGUCUUUUUGGUGUCCAUCAUAGUGCUUAAUGUCAUGCCUGGCACAUACUCCUCAAUCCACUAAGCCAUGUUGCUUUUAUUCAAUGAUAAAGUAGUUACAAUUUAGUCUUGUUACUCAAACUUUCCCAAGACAUGGCAAGGAAAUGGACUUGUAUAAUAUAUAAGUUCAUACUAAAUUUAGAAAUGAUGGCAUCCCAGAUCUGUAAGGUUUUUUUUCCUUUUCCUGCUAAAAUAUGAGUUGUACUACUCUUAACUGAUUUGUCAUUUGGCAAUUCCUGUAUUUAAUCACUUAUUAAAGUUCCAGACAAAGUUAUUACAGUAGCAUUGUGGAUUGUAUAGACCAAAUUCCUGCCCUUCCCUGUCCAUUUGCCCAGAGCAAAAAUCAACUGGACCUGUGAGAAGUUUUCAGUGUUUCUUUAAAAUAGUCUCCAAUCAAGAUUACCUUUUGAUAAAUCAAUCAUACUAAAUCUGUCAUAUUUAGACAUGACUUCUGUAAAGGGUGAAUAUUAUGGUUGAGACUGAAAAAAAUCUAAAUUUAAAUGGUCACCAAGGGAAAUCCCAAAUAAUAAAAUACCCAAGUGAGCUGCCAAAUUUUUAUGGUGUUUUAAUUACAAUAGGAGGAAGAAAAUAUUAGAGGGAGAGAGAGAGAGAGAGAAGGAAAGAAGUUUAAUUCAGAACUACUCUGGCUCAGGCUGAGCCAAAGUGGGCAUUAAGGCCUUGGAGAGCCAAGGCAGGGAAAGGGAUCAGUCCUUAUCACUCACGUGACCAAUCUGAAGGAAAGUAGUCUCCAGGGCUCCUCCAAUCUCAAGCACCAGCCUCAAACUGAACUCUAGCCCUCCUCACAGGAAGUCCCGAGAACUCUAGAGGCUGUUCUCUACCUCACUUCCUGUGUCUCACAUGUGCCAAUGGUGGCUCAAACUUGACCUAGGACUGCCCAGAGGUCUGUCCUUUUUUUUUUGCACAUAUCUGUUGAAGACCAUAUUCUCAAAUAAUUAAAUCUUGAGUUUGCUGCAGCCCUUCCUAAUCUUGUUACACUGAGUAGGGUGGAGAAUGUAGUUUCCAAGACCUGAUUCUGUUAUUCCAAGUAUCACUAUUGUUAUUGAUCAGGAAAUAGCUAAAUCUGAUCUUCUAAAGAAUGGUCUGAAUAGGGUGGAGUAGUUUUGAAAUUAACAAUUCCUGGCUACUGUUUCCUCUAUUGAUAAUUAAAUAGAAGCUUGACAUAUGCUUAAACUAAUCUUUCCUAAUAUGUAAAUAUGGUAAGAGCACUCAAAGCUAUUUAUGUGGAUUAAUUACUCUAUAUAAAUGGCCAUGCUUACAGAGCAGAAAGGAAUGAAUUAUUUUUAAAGGUCUGAACCAAAAUAACCAACUUAUAGAAUAUUGAUCUCACUUUGACUUCACCAGUACUAUGGACUUUAGUAUCUAUAUUUUGUAUUCCUAAUAGUUUUGCUUGAAUGCAAAAGCUAUUGUUAUAUAAAAGGGCAGCUUAAUAUAUUGUUGCAUCAUCCUCUCCUCUCUAGAAGAGACUCUAACUAUACCUAUUAAGUUCUUUCUUCAAGGCACUUCUUGACUGGCCCACAUGGAGAUAUUACCUAUGUAGACAGUCUAUGGGAUAGUACUCCAUCCCAUUAUAAUAGUCACUUCCUUUAUAUCCUAAGUAUGGAGACUCAGACCAGAUAAGUUCUGAUGGAAAGUGAAAUGUGUGCUCUGAAACAUGUGCUAUUUCUACUGUGUUUUGAGACCCACAGGCAAUAUUUUCUAUUGAGAGAACCUCUAAAUUAUGAAAGAUCACCUGGUUCCACCACUUACUAACACUGCAUCCUUCUCUGUGGUCUGGUUUCCUUAUGUGCAAAAGGAGACACUUGUACUAGACUAUCUAGUUCAUUCUAGCUAAUAGCUGGUCACUGAUUUCUUGAAAUUUUUCUAUUUGUUCACCCCUUCCCCAUAUAAAGUUGACAUACCAGAGAAAUAAGCCUGCAACAAGGUUAUUAAUAGUUUUUACCUGGCAACAGGGUGUUGACCAAGCUUCCUGAGAUGCCAAAGCACAGGAUACAUCUACAAAUGGCAUAAAAAGAUCUCUUAGCAUAUUUCAGUCAAAUGAUCUCCAGCUAGAAGCCUCUUUUAAUCCAGGUAAAUAAAAAUGAAAAGAUCUUAUGAUCCUCUUCCUUUGGAAUAAUAACACAAACCUUACAACCAGGAUAGCCAAAAUAUUCAACACUUAGACCACACCACAGUGUCUUCCCAUGGGAUUGAAGUUCCCUUUGCCAUAAACAUUUAAAUGGAUGAAAUAAUCAAGUGAAGACCACUACCUCCAUGAGAUCUCAGCUAAAAGCUGAGAACAUUUAUAUGGGACACAGAGGCUAGAGAGCUGGCAGGAAGACCUACCUCUGAUGAAUAUGUGCUAUAUGACUCUGAAGUCUCUUCUCUUCCCCUCAGGGCACCAAGAAACUCUCUUACAUUAUAAUUUGAAGAGCCACUGUUAAACUGUAUUGUUGGAUGGAGUAUACAUAUUUGAAGUUCCCUAUAUCAAGGUCUGGUUAUAUAUUUGUUAUCGUUUUCCAUUCAUGUCAGAUUCUUUGGAACCCCAUUUUCUUGGCAAAGAUCCUGGAGCGGUUUGACAUUUUCCUUCUCCAGCUCAUUUUACAGAUGAGGGAACUAAAGCAAAUAGGAUUAAGUAACUUGCCCAGGGUUGCACAACUAUUAGGUGUCUGAGGUUAGAUUUGAACUCAGAAGAUCAGUCUUCCUGACCUCAGACUUGAUACUUUCUUGACUGCACCACCUCGCUGCCCAUACAUAUGCAAAUACAUGUAUACAUACAUAUACACACACAAAUAGAUAAUUCCCCAUAUGUGGAUUUUAACUCUCAGUCUUAAUCUCUAGGAAAUAGUACUUUUUAUUUUAUUAUAUAAUCCAUUUGAUUUUUUAAUUAUUGAUUUUUAAAAUUAUUUAAUUCAUUAAUGUCUCUAGUAUUGGGAAUUUCAGCCUGGUUAUGGAGGCAUUGGGUUGAAGAUAGGCCUUUUGUAAACACUCAAAUCUUGUUAUGUAGAACAGUCCUGAAACAUACCAGGAAAAAGUCCAUAGCAUUUAUAUGUGAUACAUCAAUCAUGAAAAUUAUUAUUGAUCUAUUUACAUAAUACUCUUUAGCUUACAAAGUAUUCACAUAUAUAUUAACCCAUUUAAUUCUCACAAUGGACCUGUGAGAUAGUGUAAGUAUGAUUAUUCCAAGUUAAUAGAUAAAGAAGAUGAAGGUUUCCCAUGGCUAGUAGUAAAUGACAGCAUUGGACCCAGGUCUGAAAUCUGAUGUAGGGCUCUUUGCAUUUUCCUGCACUCUCUUACUGGUCCCCCCUCAGGGUGUGCUUGGGGUGGUGCUGAGUGUUUUGUGCACCAAGCUCCAUGGUAAGAAUUUUGAUGAAGGCUGGUGAUGAGUGGAAGGUAAGCUGGAGCCAGAAAGUAAUUUGGCACUAGAGGUCCUAUCUUUGAAUAGCAGCUUUUCCCCCUGCCACUGGAUGACCAGUCACUUCAUUUUAUCUAGUCCUCUUUUUCCUCAUCUAUAAGAUGAGAUGGUUGAACUCAUGUGACUUCUGAGUUAUUUUUUCAGAUCUGUAUCCCAUGAUGGUGCGGAGAAAGGGGAAAAUGUAGAGAGAAAUGGAAUUCUUUUUCUUUCUUCAGGUUCUUUUCCUUUGCUUCUCCAUUAGAUAGCCAGAGUAUUCAGGAGCAAGGUCAUCGGAUUGAAUAAGAGUGUCCUUGAGCUUAAUCUCACAUCUGCAGAGGAGUCACUUCAAAGUUAAUAUAAGAAGGUAUAGGAAAAAACUAUUCUUAUUCAUAGUUCUUAUUUCCUUUAUGGUGUUAUCAGAUGGAAUAAGUUAGCAGGUUUGGAUGUUUUCAUUAUAGAAUUGGAAUUUUAGAGUUACAAGGGACUUCAGAUGUAUUCAUUGCUAAUAUACUACAUCCUGAUAGAAUAUAAUUUCUUGAGGAUAGGAACUGUCUCACUUGUUUUGUAUUCCCAGAACCUAGCACAACAGCUGGCACACAGGAGGUACUUAAAUGCUUGUCUGU